Molecule: ribosomal RNA, 301 nt
Filed under: uncultured bacterium
Lineage: Bacteria
Description: partial 16S ribosomal RNA
Rfam family: Bacterial small subunit ribosomal RNA
Source: RNAcentral
CAGUAGCCGCGAUAAUACGAAGGGUGCAAGCGUUACUCGGAAUUACUGGGCGUAAAGCGUGCGUAGGUGGUGGUUUAAGUCCGUUGUGAAAGCCCUGGGCUCAACCUGGGAAUUGCAGUGGAUACUGGGUCACUAGAGUGUGGUAGAGGAUAGUGGAAUUUCCGGUGUAGCGGUGAAAUGCGUAGAUAUAGGAAGGAACACCAGUGGCGAAGGCGACCACCUGGACUGAUACUGACACUGAGGUGCGAAAGCGUGGGGAGCAAACAGGAUUAGAUACCCCCGUAGUCCCUGUCUCUUAUAC